RNAcentral lists this long non-coding RNA (1113 nucleotides) under Pogona vitticeps (central bearded dragon). Its description in RNAcentral is "lncRNA (ENSPVIG00000014811.1)". The record is from RNAcentral. Lineage: Eukaryota; Metazoa; Chordata; Lepidosauria; Squamata; Agamidae.
GGCUCAGGAGACCUGGGUUCAAAUCCCUCCUUGGCCUCCAAAACUUUCUGGAGAAUAGCAAAGGUAAACCACUCCUGGAAAAUCUUAGGUACUUCACAAAUCUUAUCAGGGUCACCAGAAGCUGGAACUACCUUGCCAUAAAAUGACAAUAAAAUUGCUCUUUUAAGAGUGGGGAGCCAUUAGAAGGAUUUAUAGAGAAGGUUUUCCUAGUACUUUCCUGCCUGUUUUGUGUGCUUCACAGAGCACAUUUCCCUCAGAGCUUUUUUGGACCACAACUCCCAGAAACCUUGGGUCACGAUGGCCAGUGGCCAUCCCCAUCUGGGAAUUCUGAGAAAUGGAAGUAAUUUUCCCAAGCUCUAGUUCAUCCUUUGAGAUCAAGUAACUAGAUGACUGUGCCUAAGAAAGAAAGAAAGAAAAAACCAACAUCUUUAAUUUUUAUCUGAUUGCACAUAGAUGGUCAUGAGGAAUGCCAGACAACAGGAGAGUGCAGGUUUUUGAACGAGGAGUCAGUCAUUCAGCCAAGAAAGAAGGACAAUCAACAAUAUCGAAGGUUGUGUGGCAGUUUGAACAAGCCAUGGACAAUGUGAAGAAAACCGUCCAGAGAACCUCAGAAAGGAACCUACUUUCUAGAAUUAAUGUGCAGCCAUGUUAGUUUCUGAAAGGUCUCUGAAGAGUGUCGUGAGCCCUCUUGAACACAAACCACAGUGGACUUGCCAGAAAGAUGGAACUGAACAUCAGAAACCAUUUUGCACAAACUGUUAUUAGCCUCUGUGUGGCCAUCUCUGCUCUCACUCUGCCCCAGGAUCCUGUUCCCUCUCAGCAGAUCCCUCCCUCCCCAGGAGUCUGACUUGCUGUGGCUCCCAGAGCCCCAGUCCUUAUCAAUACCUGGAACCAGAGCCCCUUCCUCUAAUUGGGAAACCAAGAGGGACAUGCCCAGGGAUGCAACGAUCCAGAUUGGCAGAUCUCUCCGAGCCCUCCCCCAGCCCCCAUAUCCCACCCCUGUGAGCCUCAUCCCAUCCCCCCACCUGUGGACCCCCAGACACCCUCACCCGACGGCUGUAGCUGCUGGGCUCCUGUGAGCGUGCCGGAGGCAAUGGCAGAGCAGGAAGGAGG